RNAcentral lists this ribosomal RNA (231 nucleotides) under uncultured bacterium. RNAcentral's name for it is "partial 16S ribosomal RNA". It matches the Rfam family "Bacterial small subunit ribosomal RNA", at positions 524 to 751 of the family's 1533-position model. The record is from RNAcentral.
GACAGAGGGUGCAAACGUUUGUUCGGAAUUACUGGGCGUAAAGCGCGUGUAGGCGGCCAUCUAAGUCGGGCGUGAAAUCCCACGGCUCAACCGUGGAAGUGCACUCGAAACUGGAUGGCUAGAGUCCUGGAGAGGAAGGUGGAAUGCUUGGUGUAGAGGUGAAAUUCGUAGAUAUCAAGCGGAACACCGGUGGCGAAGGCGGCCUUCUGGACAGUGACGUGACGGCUGAGA